Molecule: ribosomal RNA, 613 nt
Filed under: uncultured bacterium
Lineage: Bacteria
Description: bacterial SSU rRNA
Rfam family: Bacterial small subunit ribosomal RNA
Source: RNAcentral
UUGAUCAUGGCUCAGAGUGAACGCUGGCUGUGUAGGCCUAACACAUGCAAGUCGAACGGCAGCACAGGAGAGCUUGCUCUCUGGGUGGCGAGUGGCGGACGGGUGAGGAAUACAUCGGAAUCUACUUUUUCGUGGGGGAUAACGUAGGGAAACUUACGCUAAUACCGCAUACGACCUACGGGUGAAAGCAGGGGAUCUUCGGACCUUGCGCGAUUGAAUGAGCCGAUGUCGGAUUAGCCAGUUGGCGGGGUAAAGGCCCACCAAGGCGACGAUCCGUAGCUGGUCUGAGAGGAUGAUCAGCCACACUGGAACUGAGACACGGUCCAGACUCCUACGGGAGGCAGCAGUGGGGAAUAUUGGACAAUGGGCGCAAGCCUGAUCCAGCCAUACCGCGUGGGUGAAGAAGGCCUUCGGGUUGUAAAGCCCUUUUGUUGGGAAAGAAAUCCAGCUGGCUAAUACCCGGUUGGGAUGACGGUACCCAAAGAAUAAGCACCGGCUAACUUCGUGCCAGCAGCCGCGGUAAUACGAAGGGUGCAAGCGUUACUCGGAAUUACUGGGCGUAAAGCGUGCGUAGGUGGUCAGUAUUAAGUCCGUUUGUGAAAGCCCUGGGCUC